Long non-coding RNA from Oncorhynchus keta (chum salmon), 273 nucleotides. RefSeq lists it as uncharacterized. The record is from RefSeq and is a predicted model, not a curated record. The transcript is spliced from 3 exons. NCBI's taxonomy places the organism in Eukaryota, Metazoa, Chordata, Actinopteri, Salmoniformes, Salmonidae.
UUUUGGAUCUAAACUGGUAUUCAACUGACGAACUUGUAAUAAACAAAGGUCACCAGACUGGUGAGGUCAUUACCAGGGGUUUCCAAGGGAACAAGCCCCAGCACCAAUUCCCCUAAGGCCUGGGGCUAGAGAAUGGAGAUGUAGAUGACUGGCUCUGCAUCCAGCAGCACCACCACCAAACAAGCUCUGAGAGUCAGGGGGGGAUACUGUCUGUCCAGUUCCAGGGGGAGAAACGAUGUGUUCCCAUACUGUAAACUGGUUUCCUUGUUCUGA